This 118-nucleotide ribosomal RNA is filed under the name Pteropus alecto (black flying fox). Lineage: Eukaryota; Metazoa; Chordata; Mammalia; Chiroptera; Pteropodidae. The record is from RNAcentral.
GUCUAUGGCCAUGCCACCCUGAACAAGCCCAAUCCCGUCUGAUCUCGGAAGCUAACAGGGUCAGCCCUGGUUAGUACUUGGAUGGGAGACCACCUAGGAAGACCAGGUGCUGUAGACA